UAGGCCCACCCUAGCCCCACCAACCACAACCAAGAACCCACUACUAAACUCAACCAAAACAUUUCCCCCAACCUAGUAUAGGCGAUAGAAAAGUAUAACCCUGGGCGCCAUAGAGAAAGUACCGCAAGGGAAAGAUGAAACAACAAUGAAAACCAAGCACCACAUAGCAAAGAUAAACCCUUGUACCUUUUGCAUUAUGAUCUAGCAAGAACAACCAGACAAAGUGAACUAAAGCCUGCCCCCCCGAAACCUAGGCGAGCUACUCACAAGCAGCUACCCCCUGAGCUAACCCGUCUCUGUUGCAAAAGAGUGGGACGACUUGUUAGUAGAGGUGAAAAGCCAACCGAGCCAGGUGAUAGCUGGUUGCCUGUUAAACGAAUUUAAGUUCCCCCUUAGUCCAUUCCCCCCAGAUACAAGCCUAACCCCCAUGUAACAGACUAAGAGUUAUUUAAAGGGGGUACAGCCCCUUUAAAAAGGGAUACAACCCCUACUAGAGGAUAACCUCACCUUUACCCCCCCCCCCGUGGGCCUUAAAGCAGCCACCCCUAAAGAGUGCGUCAAAGCUCCAUCAACCAAAAAUACCAAAACCACGCGACUCCCUACACCCACAACAGGCCAACCUAUACACAAUAGAUGAGUUAAUGCUAGAACGAGUAACCAGGAUAACACUCCCCUUAAGCGCCAGCCUACAUACAAUUAACAGCACAACUACAAUACCAAGCAAGAACAACCCCCGACCAAACAUUGAACCCACCCUGUUAACCCAACUCAGGGGCGCACACUAGGACGAUUAAAAUCUGCAAAAGGAACUCGGCAAACCCAAGGCCCGACUGUUUACCAAAAACAUAGCCUUCAGCCAAACAAGUAUUGAAGGUGACGCCUGCCCAGUGACACCACGUUUAACGGCCGCGGUAUCCUAACCGUGCAAAGGUAGCGCAAUCAAUAGUCCCAUAAAUAGAGACCUGUAUGAAUGGCUAAACGAGGUCUUAACUGUCUCCUGCAGAUAAUCAGUGAAACUGAUCUCCCUGUACAAAAGCAGAGAUAAAUACACAAGACGAGAAGACCCUGUGGAACUUCAAAAUCAAUAGCCACCACACACCCAACACACUAAACCCACCAGGCCCACUGUACAAAGCAUUGGCUAACAUUUUUAGGUUGGGGCGACCUUGGAGAAAAACAAAUCCUCCAAAAAUAAGGCCAAACCCCUUAACCAAGAGCAACCCCUCAACGUGCCAACAGCACCCAGACCCAACAAACUGACCAAUGGACCAAGCUACCCCAGGGAUAACAGCGCAAUCUCCCCCAAGAGCCCCUAUCGACGAGGAGGUUUACGACCUCGAUGUUGGAUCAGGACAUCCUGGUGGUGCAGCUGCUACCAAGGGUUCGUUUGUUCAACGAUUAAUAGUCCUACGUGAUCUGAGUUCAGACCGGAGCAAUCCAGGUCGGUUUCUAUCUAUGACUCAACCUUCCCUAGUACGAAAGGACCGGAAAGGUGGGGCCAAUACCCCAAGCACGCCCCCUCCCUAAGCGAUGUCCCCAACUAAAUCGCCAAAGGACCGCCCACAACCCCAACGAAAAUGGCC
RNAcentral lists this ribosomal RNA (1583 nucleotides) under Brotogeris cyanoptera. RNAcentral's name for it is "16S ribosomal RNA". It matches the Rfam family "Bacterial large subunit ribosomal RNA". The record is from RNAcentral. Lineage: Eukaryota; Metazoa; Chordata; Aves; Psittaciformes; Psittacidae.